Larimichthys crocea (large yellow croaker) is the source of this 2026-nucleotide long non-coding RNA. RefSeq lists it as uncharacterized. The transcript has 5 exons. The record is from RefSeq and is a predicted model, not a curated record. Lineage: Eukaryota; Metazoa; Chordata; Actinopteri; Sciaenidae.
AGGUGUUGAUCCUUCUAUUCAGCCCCUGCAAAAUCACCACAAGGAGAGCAACAGGGACACCUAGUGGAUGGGUAGAAGGGUCAUCACACCCCUGUUUUUGUGAACGGUACACACCAAUUUAGUUUUUCAGCUGUUACUGUGGAGGACAUACAUAAAACACUGAAUGCUCUGGAUACAAAAAAGGCACAUGGACCGGAUAUUAUUGGUCCUUCUGAUUUUAUUGCAGAACCACUUACACAUCACUUUUUACCUGAUAGAGACAAACAAUAAAAUCCCCAAAAUAUGGAAAUCUGCCUUUGUCCGUCCUAUGUUAAAGGAGGAGAUCCAACCAUGUUAAAUAACUACAGGCCAAUUUCAAAAUUAUCUAUAUUGUCCUAUCCUUGAAGAUUUAAUCAGUGAGCAGCUUAAUCAGUGAGUUUUUGAAUUCAAAUAAUAGUUUACAUGUGUCGGAGGUGCUCUGCUCUUCCCCCUUGCUUCAUCAAAACACCGCAGCAGAGCAACAACCGCAAAGAGACAGCGCAUUGUUUCACUGAGAUACAUGACUUGUGUAUGUUUGGACAGAGAGAGAAAGACACAGAGACAGAGAUUCAUUCAACUCGCCCAGAGUGGUUCAUGCAAUUUUCUGAAUUUAUCUGACAUACACGUUUUAGUCGCUUCAAAGCUAAAGCUAGCAGUAAUAGGAGAGCUCACAACAUACCCUUAUAUAUGCAGAUUACAGAGGCUACAGAUGUCUUACAAAUUGUAUUCUUCAGAUAUAAGGCACCAUGCUUGUUUGGUAGACCGAAAAGUCAUUCAAUGUAUUAUUCCCACUAAAAAUGUCUGAUAUGACUGUACAUUUUUUCAUAUUGUUCAGGCUGUAGACCUGCCAUUCUUCAUUUGUUUUGUGCAAAGUACCUUAUUUUGACCACAAGGGUGUAGUAUAGUUCUGUUUCUGUUUAAUUGGUAACCACCCAGUAACCUCCCAGCAUCAGGUGUAUGAAGGUGGAAAUCAGUGUGAGUUGAAUGGUGGUGGAGCACAACAAUUCUUAGUGACAUCCAGAUAAGAGCCAGUUUAACCAGUCAAUCUGCAUGUUCCUUCCAACCACAAGAGCGACAGCAUGCCAGUGUGACGACCAACACAAAGUCACCAGAGAAGUUGGAUGUCAGACAGACCGCUUUGUUGUGGAGAAAUUGCAGAAGUCAAAGGUCAAUGGUGCUAAAUGCAAUGCAUGUGAGGACCUUCACCAGAAUGACAUAUUGAAAAUCAUGUGCAGAACUACAGAGACUACCAAACCAACCUGCUGGGUGGACUGAAACAGAGGGACGCAGUAUCUCUAGGUUGUGAUAUGAAAGCCGACAGUCAAGGACAUUGUGCAAAGUAUGUUCCUAUUCCAUGAUGGAUCUCAGCGCAAAUAAAAUUGUUGAUGUCCAACUUGUACAGCAACAAAGGCCACAUACAAGCUGGAGAAGGUGCUAAUGAACAACGAUGUGAAAAAGCUGAACCCUGUCUACCAGACAUCUGCCUUGGAGGGGUUCCACAGUGUGAUCCUGCGUUUUGCACCAAAAACGUGGCCUUCUCAUACUUAGGGAUGCUUUGCAGGAUUUACUUGAUUGCAUUGCAUUUCAAUGAAAACCUGCGUACCCAAGCAAGGACUGCAGGAGAACUGCAGUUCCAAAUUAAAUUUCCCAAGGCCGAGCGAGGAGAACAUGUUAUGUCCAUGAUGAAGACCAAAUAUACUACUGGUUAGUUAAUUGUCACUUGUCUAAUGCAAUGGUUACAAUAAAUCAAUAUUGGUGCUGAACACCACAAUGAGUAACCAGGACACAAAGUAAUGUCAUAGCAAAAUGAUUAUAUUAACACACAUUUAUAUUUCACAAAUGGCUGGCAUUUUACUCAAAUGUCUUUUGAACUUGGUGCACCAUAAAUAUUUCCCCCAGAAAAAAAAGCUUGUUCUUUUGAGAUGCUUUUCUACAGUCCUACCACAUACAUUUGAAUGUAAAAAUGAAGUAGAAACAAACUGGGAUGAAAUAAAGACUGGUAGUGACA